UACGUAGGGUGCAAGCGUUGUCCGGAAUUAUUGGGCGUAAAGAGCUCGUAGGCGGUCUGUUGCGUCGGCUGUGAAAACCCGGGGCUCAACUCCGGGCCUGCAGCCGAUACGGGCAGACUAGAGUUCGGCAGGGGAGACUGGAAUUCCUGGUGUAGCGGUGAAAUGCGCAGAUAUCGGGAGGAACACCGGUGGCGAAGGCGGUUCUCUGGGCCUGUUCUGACGCUGAGGAGCGAAAGCGUGGGGAGCGAACAGG
RNAcentral lists this ribosomal RNA (253 nucleotides) under uncultured bacterium. Its description in RNAcentral is "partial 16S ribosomal RNA". It matches the Rfam family "Bacterial small subunit ribosomal RNA", at positions 524 to 776 of the family's 1533-position model. The record is from RNAcentral.